Gasterosteus aculeatus aculeatus (three-spined stickleback) is the source of this 8554-nucleotide long non-coding RNA. The record is from Ensembl. NCBI's taxonomy places the organism in Eukaryota, Metazoa, Chordata, Actinopteri, Perciformes, Gasterosteidae.
CUUACUGGUUUUGUUGUUUUCACUUUACAUUUACACUUCCAGUUUAGUGCAGUGUAAUUGUUUGCCGUGACAAUUAAAUCAAUCUAAAUUGAAAUUAUCAUUUCCUAUUGUUUCCUUUUAAAUCUAAUCUGAAAUUGACCAGAUGUAGUCUUGUGAUUGAGAUUUUGAAGGAAAUUGACUCAUGUAUGGUAUUUUGAGAGGCUUUUAUUUUGGAAUGGUAUAUCAAAAUGUUCUGGUACCUUGGUGCUGUGUACUUCCUGUCUGAAGUGAAAUGAGCAUGUAACUAUUGAUCGUUUCCUUUUAAAUGUAAUCUGAAAUUAACCAGAAGUUGGCUGGUGAAUGAGAUUUAAGAGAAAUUUUGGUAAUGUAUGACAUGUUGCGUUGUUCCACAUGGUUAAUGACGACUGACUCUCGGACGCCUAGUCCGACAGCCGCAGGAGUUCUUGGCAUGCAUUUCUAGCCAUCCGGCCAGUGCCCCAACAUGCGGAGUAUUGCAGCUUUAAUUCUUUUUCUUCUUCCUUUUUACUCUUUAUCCUUUGUUCUCUAUAUUAUUACGUUCUUUCAUAUAUUUUCUACCAGUAUGAAUAUAUUUUUCUAAUAAAAAUGUUUAACAUGAUACAACUAAAAGUCCUGAAUUCAAAAUAUUGUGUAUACAAUAGUGUUUACAAUCAAGAAGAGUACUCGGAGUGGCACAUGACUACAUAUACUUAUAAUACGUAUUGUAAUUAUUAGUAAUUUAGUGGGAUGCAAAAUGCAUUUCUAUGUUGUAGCCGGCUGCAGUAGAAUGCAUACAACAUGUUUAAUAAGUUUGCGUGGCUAAAUGUAGUAAAUAAAAUUUAUUUGAUAUACUCAUAAUUCCCAGUGAGGAAACUUUGCCACCAAACAAUGAAAAACAAUUACAAUACCUCAACAUUGUAAUUAAUUACAGUACUUAACUUGUAUCCAUCACUGCUUGUUUGUCCUCCCCUUCAAUGUCCUUAACUUUGAGGCCCCAAUAUAAACAACAUUAUGUUUAGUUGAUUUAGUUGAAUUUUGAGGCGAGAGGGAAAAGCAUGGUGAGUGAGGUUGAGCUCUCUCCCUCACCGCCAAAUUCCUUGUCUCAAAUAUUUUUUCCUCAUUUCCAACAAAGAGACACAUUCGCUUAUUAUCUUCAUCUCCCUUUUUUCACUCCAGUAUGAAAGUUAUGCUAUAUUACUUCAAUAAUAAAACUUAACAAAACCUGCAAAGCUGCAAAUACUGCAAAGCCAGCAGGAAAAUUCAUGGACAUUCAGUAAUACAUUUAUUAUGAAUCAAACCUUUGAAUUCUACUAAUAUUCUUAAGGUUGUACAUGUAUUCUCUCCACAAUAUACACACCAACACAAACAGAACAUUACAUUUGUGUUACACACAUCAAUUAAAAAUCUUAACAAAAGCUAUAAAUUGAGUAAAUUAACCCCACAGAGAUAAAGCUGUGUCCAUUCUAAAAAUCAAUAAUCCGUUUAUGAAUAUGUUAUUAAUAAAGGAGUUAAGCCGCAUAUAUAUUUCAUGAGAGAGGAGGGGAGCGUCUCCCUGAGGCCGCAAGGGUUUACUCCAUAUCAUUCAUUUAUAAUUAAUCUGCACCACUUGGGAUUUAGUGAAUUAGGAAUCCCGCAACAGACGUGAGCUCUGUUCUGUUCUAUCAUUUGCAGCUCUGGAACAUGGGAGGUCCUUCUCUCACUGCUGCUAUUAAAGAAAAAGGAGGAGGGAGAGACAGCAAAUGUAGUUGAAAUUUAUCCAACCAGAAUAAAGGGAGACAGUCCCACCAACAUACUGGAACGAAAGGCCAAAUGAUUUAAUCCCAUUUGUCGACAUUUUGUUAAACGUACUGCACAUCAUAAUAUUCAUCUGCAAAACCUUUUCCUUAGACUCAAAGGGCAAUAGCAUAUCUUUUCAUUUCCAUGUGUAAUUAUCUACAUUUCAAUGGUACACUUCUUUAACUAAUAUUUUUAUUGAAAUAUUUUUGUUUUAUUAAUACUAUUAUUAUUAUUUUGAAGAAUGGUAUUUGUUCUUAUGUUUCAUUAUGACUUUUGUAGUACAUUUUUAUAAAAUUCUAUACAAAGAGGAGAGCAAGAGAGGAGCGUCCCCAGUAAUAGUAAUAGAAAUAGUAAACAAUAAUAGUAGUUUAAUGUGGUACCUGGCAUGGCAGGAGGCACAGAACAAUUAAGGUACCACAAGCCGCAGAAAUCAGUUGAUGAAGAAAACAUAGGGCCAGUAGUGUUAUCCAUUUCUUAUCUUUUUAAAAUUGGUAACUUUUUCAAAAUGACAAGCUUUUAAUAUUCAAUGGAGACAAACUUCAUUUUUUUUUGCAGAGAUGGUUAGGGGCACCUAUUUCAGCCCUUCAGUGGUUUAGAAAACAAAGACAGGGCCUUAUUGUCUCCUGAAUUCUAAACCUAGUGAUGUUCUCAUGGUGGCAAUUAAUUCAGAAAACUUGGAUAUUGGGCUGAUGGCCAUGGUCUAACUAAAUAACCUAAAAUGUUAAGUUUGAACUGAGCGUAAACUCUUUUGACAUUGCAUUUAGUUGGGCCUACAUCAGACAGGCAAGCCCCACCCCCACCCCCCCCACCACACACACACACACACACACACAGACAUACAGAUUGGGUCCAGCCUGCUAUUGUCCCUGGUUAAUCGGGGGUGGACUGACAUUCCUGUCAAUUUCCCCCAAAAACAAAAGACUUGCUCCAGCUGUAUCAGUGCAGCAUCUCGCCGGCAGCACCAGGCCAGCCAGACAAGCGGGAAGAAAGGCCUGAUUGCUGCCUGAUGGCUGCAGGCGAGGAGAAAGACACUGCUGACAAAUGCUUUAAUUACUUCAUCAACUUCCUUUCCCAAUUAACCUUACAUGCCACCUCCCAGGUAAGCCAGCCGGGAACGAUGAGCGGUGCAGGACUGUGGCACCGGCAACUCCUCAUUAACCAGAAAAAAAACUAAAGAGUCAGAGAAAAGAUGAGCUGAAGAAAAAUUAAGAGUCCUGGAGACAAUAGGUUCCCCCAGCUCUUAAAAAAGCAUGAAGGCAUGGAGAAAAUGACCAGAUAACAUUGUCGUUAUCAUGCAUCCAGAGAUUUCCACCAAUCACCGUUUUUAUUACCAAACAAAAUGGUCUCGGCCCAAUUAAUACACUGUUUGACAUAUCUUUAAUCCAUCCUUCAUUUGCAUUUUCAAUUCCUCAAAAUAUAUUUUCUUUGUCUCUCCAUCUGUUGGCUUGACCAGCACAUCACUGAUAGAGAGGAAGUCGGGAGAACACGGGAAAGGAAGAGAGAGACUAAAUGAAGGGAAAUGCGAUUGUGGCGUCAGCGGAGACCCAGAACAAGGUCCUUUCUCAUCAGUUCAUUAAAAGCGGUAGCACAGGCUAGUCUAGUCACCUUGAUACUGUUAGCAGAGCAUUUGGCUAGUGUUUCAAGAAGAAAAUCUAAGAUUGUUUUAUUGCAUUUUGACAAUAUAUUUUAGUAUCUGGUGAAAUAAAGUAGUGUUAAUAAAAAUGUGAUUUCAACAAAAAAGUCAGUAUGAGCAGCCAAGUUCAAAAAAAGUGGAGAAUAAAAGGUAUGACUAGAAGAUAAAUAAGAAAAUGAUGAAAUGUUAAAUUAAUAUGUAUAGGAUAUUUUGAGAACGAUGUAGAAAAUACAUUAUAGAUAUGUAUAAUGACACAUGUGUGAUACUGUUUACUACAACAUUUGGAAAAUUAUUAUUUUUGAUGAGGGUGGGGAAAUAUCAUAUGGAUAUCAUAUGGAGCAUAUGGAUCUGCCAUCAUAACCCUCCAAACACACACAUGUGCAUCAGCACGUGCACAUGCAUCCCCUCAUUAAAACUUUAAAUGAAAAAUCUGGGAAGGAAAGUGUUAAUCAGAUGGUUAAUUAGCAUCCCCCAAUCCUCUAAAUGUAUUGAACUAGUUGAGAGUUGGUGUUUUUCAAUCUGGGAGGAGGUGCAGGCUUUUUCAGCACUAGUUGAAAUGUUAAUUAUGACCCUGGCAAGAGUACUGAAACAUCAAGGAUUGGAGUAGAAUGGGAGGGCAAAUACAAAGCAGCUGUGGCCUUGGCUGCGGUGGUUACCGGGACACAGGCUCAGACUGGAACUGGGGUGGAAUAAGAACCAAAGAAGAGAGCAACCAGUGUAAACCCUGAAUGGGAUUAAAACUUUAUGUGGCUAAAAUGCGACUAAAAUAACAUUUUACACAAGGAUAAACACUACAUAUAAUGGAUUUAGAUGUGAUCUAAACAGAACAUGAGAUAGGUAAAACCACCUCCAGACUGGGUCUUAUGACAAGGUCUAAAACUAGGAAACAGAAAUUAUAUCCAAAAACUGAAACUAGGACUGGGAUUGGUAGGAUUGGAUUUACACUUAAAUUGGGAUUAGGAUUAAAGCUGUGACAGACUGGGAUUGUUUACAAUGUUUGCUGAGGGAAUAAAUCGAGGGUCAUUUCAUCAUUGACAAUACAAUCAUACUUAUUUCUGCAACCAGAGGAGUCGCUCCUCGUAAUUCUGGAAUUGAGAUUGGGUUUUGGAUGGGACUGUGGUUACGUUCUCAAAGUUGGGGAGGGGUUGAAUUAAAGUUGGGACUGGGAAUCUUCCAUUGCAAGAGGCAUUGCUGCUAGAAUCGGGAUUAGAGCUGGGAAAGCGGAACGUAAAUGCUUGGAGUCAGGGAAGGCGAGCACACAAUGGAGGACAUUCUCCUAAAUGUCCCUGUAAGUGCUCCCUAUGAAAUCCUUCCCACAUCCACAAGGUGAAUGGAUUACAGCCAAUAAAAAAGGGAGGGGUGAGAGAGCAAGACUGAAAGAGAGAGAACAUCAAUUCAGCCUCUCAUGAUCACAGAAGGAAUAGGAUUCACUUGAACAGAGGCAUAUGCUCACGCAUAAUACUUUGCGUAGCCGAAUACACAUCACAGCUCUGUCAUUUCAUCUGAAAUUAUGAUGUAACAAGCAAAGCAAAACGUUUGUUUUUUUGGCCUGUUCCUCUAUUGCAUUAAACGAAAAUUGGAUUCAUAUUACUAUUAAUUAACAUAAUGGCACACAGGAUAAUGUUUAUGCAUAUCAAAAUUAUUUAUGAAUUCCUAAUUUGGUUUCUCUGAAAUACGGCUAAUGAAAACUUGAAAAACUGUCAUAGACUUGAAUCCAUCAGUCAAUUAGAGAUGCAGUAACACAGACCUUCACAGGUCAUUUGUGAGAUCUCCUGAACCACCACAAGAGGGUUCUUCUCCCACAGAAAUCACAAAUGCUUUUCACCUGCAAAAUAUACUUGUAUUCUUUAAACUGGAUUCAUUUUGGAUUGUCUUUUUUAUCAUUUACUGUGUGGAGUCUGUAAACAUCACACAUUUAUUGAUAUUAGUUUCCUCAUACAUACACAUUUGAGUAAAGAGCUAAAGAUUCAGUUCCUAGUUUCUCCAUAACUAGGACUUGGGAGUAUUAGUGGGGGUCAUUGAUUCACCGAACAAUGCAUGGUCUAAUUACAACUCUGUUGUUAGACAAGGAUGUGAGACUCAAUGGGGAGGGGAGGAAGUUCAUUGCGGGCCAAGAGAAUAUUCAUCACCUACAUUUUUAUACAAAACGACAACCCCUCCUGGUAUUAGAUAACUUAUGAAUUUUUCUCCAUAAAGCUUUAACCAAUAUGUGUCCCUUUAAAUGUACAUUUAUUAAAGAAAAAACAUAUCCUAAUGCAGCCAGAUGAUAGUAGGUCAAAAACCAUCAACAGUAAUUCGUUCUUUCUUUGUUUCAACGACAUCAACUUUCCUUUUCUUUCCUUUCUCCUCCUUCUUUCUCCUAUUUUCCCCCCUGCCCCACCUUCCUCCUCUCUUUUUUGAUGUGUUUGCUUUCACGGCUUCUGAACGCUCUCUAAUUCCAUCUGGCCACAACAGAGAAGGCGGCACGGUGAGAAAAAGCAUUUCCAUAUGUGCAAAUUAGGGACCCCCCCAACCCCACCUCCCUACACACAAUCACACACAAACACAAGCUGCACCUACCCCCACUGACUGCCAGGGCUGCUAAUGGUGAUCAAGGGGAGGGUUUUUGUUGGGCCUCAGUCGGAGUCUGUAAGUUGUCAUGACUGUAAUGUCUACAUCAACAACUAUGACCUUGGGAGGAUGGACAUAAUUAUUAAUAUGAUGGCAACCUGAUGUCUUGUUAAUAUUAUUAUUAGUAUUAGUUUUAUUAAUGCAUUUCCAAUAGCUUGUGCUGAUUAUAACAGUGGAUUGAAGGAGCUCCACAUGCAGCUUUAUUACCUGUGCUCCGGUUCCAUGUCUGGUGAAUUACAACUUCCACUCGCGUGGCAUGUCUCCAAAAAAUAACAAAUGUUUGCAGUUUAUUUGGUCUGAAGGAAGAGGAGGAAGGAGCAGAGAGACACAUAAUGACAAUUAAUGCCAUCCAUCUCUGCUGAGGAGAGGUCUCCCCCCCGUUCUGUGCUGCUUUCAUUUCAAGCCUCGACGCAUUCAUCGCUUUUGGAUUUCUUGUCUGAAAUACCUUUUAAAAUGAAAAACAAAAAAGUAUUCAUUGUUGAUUUUCUUUUGGGGUGGGGGUGCAUAUAGACAGUUUGUCUAUUGUUUGUCCAUCGGCCUAUCCCUUUCAUUGUACUAAAAAAAACACAACCUGCUUAAUAAAGAUGCAUGUACUGCUGCUGCGACUUGUCCAUGUCAUUCAACCACUCCUUCUCAUCUGUGUAAACUGGGAUCAUUCAAUCAAUACCUCUUUGUAAGCAAGUCUAAGACAGCUAACUAGAUUGUGAAAUAUUAAGGGAUUCCACCUUGUGUGCUAGCAGUCGAUACUGCCACUCUGGAGCCACCAUGCCAUUAAAGCCAGGCGUAAUAGCUGGAGGUGACAUUGGAAUGUCAUAUUUGUGGGUUGGUAUUUGAGGAUAUUUUGUCUGCAUAAGUUCUUUCAACACACAGACACACACGCACACCCACAUGCACAUACAUACAUACAUAUAUACACAUAACAGAAUGACCAUUGUGUUCAUGUUCCAUUUUCUGGCAGUAGAGUUCGCCAAACUAAAUGAAUUCAGGCUAAUUGACUGCGGUUUGCGCAGUAGCAGCUUUGGUGGGGAGGGUUUAAUCUUUAAAAAUAGGGAACCCUCAUAAUAUUAUUAGAUUAUCAUUAUAAAAAUGUACAUCUUUGGCCAAAAAAAUUAUCUACUGUGAAACCACGAUUAUAGCAAAAAUGGAGAUUGUAACUUCCCACCACAAUCUGUUAAGUGAUUAAUGUCAUCUGAAAACAAGAAACCUAAUUCUUAUUUAUAAAUUAUUUAUAUAUAUUAUAAAGGCUGCUGCUUUCUAUCUGUCUCCUUCAGAGUAAAAAUAAAGUUAAACAACUAAGAAGUAGAAGAAGAAAACAACAACAACAACAAACAUGCUGCCUGAUCACCAGGUAGAUUAUCAGAGACAUUGGGGAACCAAUGGCAGCUAUCUACUUGACCUUUGCAUGUACAAGCAGAGAAGAUCACAAGACGGAGGCAGCCAUCAGUAAUAAGGCAGUGAGGCCGCCAUGGAGCAGGGGACGGAGAUGCACCGCAUAAGAGCCAGCUUUGUGUAAGAAAAAUGUUUUUGUUCAUCAAUAGUGUUGUGUGUGUGUGUGUGUGUGUGUGUGUGUGUUACAAGCAGUGCUGCUCAAAGUGAGGCCUAAAGAAGCCUUGAGGGGCCAAGGGGAAAACUUGGGCCCCCCAUGACCCCUCCUGUGGCUGGGGCCCAGCUGUGCUUUACUGGGCAUCUGCCAGCUAGAGGACAAAUCCGUCCGCAGCAACACACACACACACACACACACACACACACAAACAUACGCAUGCACGCACCUACUUACAUUGUUGAAAAGACAUUCACAUAAAAGACAUACUUGCACACAUGUGCUAUACACACAGACAUUUGCAGUGAUCGGUUUGUUUGUUUCAUAGGGGCAUAUCCUCUUUGAGCAUGAUAGAGGGUAGUUGUGGUGUGAGGAAAAUCCUCUCAGUGCAUCUCUCUGAAGGAGAAAAAUCAAAUCAAAUCAAAUCCUUUGUUUUCCCCAACAACAAACCCAAGAGCCGUACUCAACAAUCACUCACUCCAAUGGCUCACACAAUUGCCAAAGCGAUAACAUCCUAGGCAAAGAAACAACACAAAAUAUUUCUAUUGUGAGACAACCGUACAAGAGCAUUUCAGAUGAGGUUGGCUAUGCAAAUUUGCUAUCUGGAAAAAUUAGCCAUCCUUGUUUGUCAAUGUCCAACUACCCCCAUGAUAACUUCAAUUACAUGACAUGGCAAGAAGUAUAUGGACACAUGAACUUCCCACCAGUUAUGAUAUUCAAAAUUCUCAACAAUGGUCGACAAUUAUAGUUUUUAUUCCUGCCAACUAACAUAUGUCAAGCUUUCCAGUAAUAACCAUUGACUGUAUCAGUGUUUGUGGUAACCAUACAGCAACCUUUGUUUUUGGACUAGUUUGUUUAAAUAUGCAUUGGAAACUGAAAAAACACUGCAAAAGGGGCUUGUUUGACCUUCCAAUCACCUUGGAGCCUCACGUAACACAGCCCCUACUUUAUGGUCGGUAUUACUCUAAAUGGAUCAUUACAUUAAAUUUCAUUUAGCU